ACUUUUAGUAUCAUAGUAAGCUGCAGAGCUUGUUACAUGUAGAUCUUGGGCUCACUCAAGAUCUCCUAAAUCUCUGAGGCUGGAGUCCAGGAAUCUGAAUUUUUAUCAAGCAUCCAGGUAAUUCU
RNAcentral lists this microRNA precursor (125 nucleotides) under Myotis lucifugus (little brown bat). RNAcentral's name for it is "miRNA (ENSMLUG00000020330.1)". Lineage: Eukaryota; Metazoa; Chordata; Mammalia; Chiroptera; Vespertilionidae. The record is from RNAcentral.